RNAcentral lists this small RNA (290 nucleotides) under Arabidopsis thaliana (thale cress). RNAcentral's name for it is "ATSL100550". Lineage: Eukaryota; Viridiplantae; Streptophyta; Magnoliopsida; Brassicales; Brassicaceae. The record is from RNAcentral.
AUUAGAUUAUUUUAAUUAUAGUGAUUAGAGUUUGGGUGGAAGCCACAAUUAUUUAAUUUAAUUAAAAAAGAUUUAUUUUUAACCUAACCGCUAUCGCCCGCAACCGCAAACGCUUGCGGGAAGGAGCUUUUGAAAACGGACAAUUUUGAGCGGUCCAAAGCGAUGUCUAGCGGUUUUUAUGAUUGGUGUCAAUCGCUAACAACCGCUAACAAUCGCUACCAACCGUAAACGCUGUGUUUGCGGGUGGUAGAGGGAGAACCAAUCAAGCCUUAAGUUCUGGUUUUCUACCU